GAGUUUGAUCCUGGCUCAGGAUGAACGCUAGCGAUAGGCUUAACACAUGCAAGUCGAGGGGCAGCACGCUUUCGGGUGGUGGCGACCGGCGCACGGGUGAGUAACGCGUAUGCAACCUGCCCAUAACCUUGGGAUAGCCCUAAGAAAUUGGGAUUAAUACCGAAUGCAACAAUGGUACCGCAUGGUAUUAUUAGUUAAAGAUUUAUUGGUUAUGGAUGGGCAUGCGUUCCAUUAGAUAGUUGGUAGGGUAACGGCCUACCAAGUCAGCGAUGGAUAGGGGUUCUGAGAGGAAGGUCCCCCACACUGGUACUGAGACACGGACCAGACUCCUACGGGAGGCAGCAGUGAGGAAUAUUGGUCAAUGGGCGAGAGCCUGAACCAGCCAAAUCGCGUGAAGGAUGACUGUAUUAUGUAUUGUAAACUUCUUUUGUAAGGGAAUAAAAAUCGGGACGUGUCCCGUGUUGUAUGUACCUUUCGAAUAAGCAUCGGCUAACUCCGUGCCAGCAGCCGCGGUAAUACGGAGGAUGCGA
This 530-nucleotide ribosomal RNA is filed under the name uncultured Bacteroidota bacterium. Its description in RNAcentral is "bacterial SSU rRNA". It matches the Rfam family "Bacterial small subunit ribosomal RNA", at positions 9 to 537 of the family's 1533-position model. Lineage: Bacteria; Pseudomonadati; Bacteroidota. The record is from RNAcentral.